GUAGGUGGCAAGCGUUGUCCGGAAUUAUUGGGCGUAAAGCGCGCGCAGGCGGUUCUUUAAGUCUGAUGUGAAAGCCCACGGCUCAACCGUGGAGGGUCAUUGGAAACUGGAGAACUUGAGUACAGAAGAGGAAAGCGGAAUUCCACGUGUAGCGGUGAAAUGCGUAGAGAUGUGGAGGAACACCAGUGGCGAAGGCGGCUUUCUGGUCUGUAACUGACGCUGAGGCGCGAAAGCGUGGGGGAGCAAACAGGAUUAGAUACCCUGGUAGUCCACGCCGUAAACGAUGAGUGCUAAGUGUUAGGGGGUUUCCGCCCCUUAGUGCUGCAGCUAACGCAUUAGGCACUCCGCCUGGGAGUACGGCGCAAGGCUG
Molecule: ribosomal RNA, 370 nt
Filed under: uncultured organism
Description: partial 16S ribosomal RNA
Rfam family: Bacterial small subunit ribosomal RNA
Source: RNAcentral